This 445-nucleotide ribosomal RNA is filed under the name uncultured bacterium. RNAcentral's name for it is "partial 16S ribosomal RNA". It matches the Rfam family "Bacterial small subunit ribosomal RNA", at positions 354 to 796 of the family's 1533-position model. The record is from RNAcentral.
GUGAGGAAUAUUGGUCAAUGGGCGAGAGCCUGAACCAGCUAAGUCGCGUGAAGGAAGAAGGAUCUAUGGUUCGUAAACUUCUUUUGCAGGGGAAUAAAGUGCGGGACGUGUCCUGUUUUGUAUGUACCCUGAGAAUAAGGAUCGGCUAACUCCGUGCCAGCAGCCGCGGUAAUACGGAGGAUCCGAGCGUUAUCCGGAUUUAUUGGGUUUAAAGGGUGCGUAGGUGGUUUGAUAAGUCAGCGGUGAAAGUUUGUAGCUUAACUGUAAAAAUGCCGUUGAAACUGUCGGACUUGAGUGUAAAUGAGGUAGGCGGAAUGCGUGGUGUAGCGGUGAAAUGCAUAGAUAUCACGCAGAACUCCGAUUGCGAAGGCAGCUUACUAAGCUACAACUGACACUGAAGCACGAAAGCGUGGGGAUCAAACAGGAUUAGAAACCCCAGUAGUCC